Symsagittifera roscoffensis is the source of this 614-nucleotide long non-coding RNA. RefSeq lists it as uncharacterized. The transcript is spliced from 2 exons. NCBI's taxonomy places the organism in Eukaryota, Metazoa, Xenacoelomorpha, Acoela, Convolutidae. The record is from RefSeq and is a predicted model, not a curated record.
AGCAUGUCGGUGAGUCGUGUAUGGCAAAGAGGCACAAUAUUCUCCCGCGUGAACAAUCUCAUCAGAGCCAACUCUCUUCCAUAUGUACACAGACCCCUCUGGUUCGAUAUCUACGAGAAAUUUCCCCCUCUCGAGGAACCGAGAGCAGAUAGACAAGUGAAAAAUAUGCCAGUAUUGGAUAUCCUGUACGAAGAAGACAACGAGCGGGCAGCUGCCGACAGAAACGGAGAAAGGGCUGGGCAAAUUUUCGACCUGACGAAGCAAACAUAAUUGUUCGAUUCUCUUUAAAUAAAGUGACCAAUUGUGCAAUCAACAAGCUCGAAAACUAGACAGGCCUCGAUGCUGACCGAGACACGGGAACUCGAAAAAGCGAAAAGAUUUAACUGAAUUACGUCAUCAUGAGUUCGUUGAAGUUGUAUUUGGUUGAUUUCUGUACAAGUUUGAGAUUUCGAUUUAUACUUAUUGCUCUGGCCAACAAUUUAUUGCGCAUUGCUUUAAAUUUAUUGUACGCAACAGCAACAAUCACAAAAGUACGCUGAUAUGUAAUGUGUGACCGUUUGGUAUCAUAUUUCAUUUUUUUCAGCCUUGAUUAAUUCUAAAUAUUUUCAUUGAAA